GCUUCAUUAGCUCAGCUGGUAGAGCAAAGUACUUAUAAUAUAGUAUGUUAUGCUUUGGUCCCGAGUUCAAACCUCGGAUGGAGUA
This 85-nucleotide transfer RNA is filed under the name Dictyostelium purpureum. It matches the Rfam family "tRNA". From Rfam's summary of the family: Transfer RNA (tRNA) molecules are approximately 80 nucleotides in length. Their secondary structure includes four short double-helical elements and three loops (D, anti-codon, and T loops). Lineage: Eukaryota; Evosea; Eumycetozoa; Dictyosteliales; Dictyosteliaceae. The record is from Rfam by way of RNAcentral.